RNAcentral lists this ribosomal RNA (265 nucleotides) under uncultured Oscillospiraceae bacterium. RNAcentral describes it as "partial 16S ribosomal RNA". It matches the Rfam family "Bacterial small subunit ribosomal RNA", at positions 1118 to 1382 of the family's 1533-position model. The record is from RNAcentral. Lineage: Bacteria; Bacillati; Bacillota; Clostridia; Eubacteriales; Oscillospiraceae.
CCAGCAAGUAGCGUUGGGCACUCUAGCCAGACUGCCGGUGAUAAAUCGGAGGAAGGUGGGGACGACGUCAAAUCAUCAUGCCCUUUAUGUCCUGGGCUACACACGUACUACAAUGGCCGUUACAACGGGAAGCGAAGGAGCAAUCCGGAGCAAAUCCCUUAAAGGCGGUCCCAGUUCAGAUUGUGGGCUGAAACUCGCCCACAUGAAGGCGGAAUUGCUAGUAAUUGCAGAUCAGCAUGCUGCAGUGAAUACGUUCCCGGGCCUU